UCUGGUUGAUCCUGCCAGUAGUCAUAUGCUUGUCUCAAAGAUUAAGCCAUGCAUGUCUAAGUAUAAGCAAUUUAUACAGUGAAACUGCGAAUGGCUCAUUAAAUCAGUUAUCGUUUAUUUGAUAGUUCCUUUACUACAUGGUAUAACUGUGGUAAUUCUAGAGCUAAUACAUGCUUAAAAUCUCGACCCUUUGGAAGAGAUGUAUUUAUUAGAUAAAAAAUCAAUGUCUUCGGACUCUUUGAUGAUUCAUAAUAACUUUCCGAAUCGCAUGGCCUUGUGCUGGCGAUGGUUCAUUCAAAUUUCUGCCCUAUCAACUUUCGAUGGUAGGAUAGUGGCCUACCAUGGUUUCAACGGGUAACGGGGAAUAAGGGUUCGAUUCCGGAGAGGGAGCCUGAGAAACGGCUACCACAUCCAAGGAAGGCAGCAGGCGCGCAAAUUACCCAAUCCUAAUUCAGGGAGGUAGUGACAAUAAAUAACGAUACAGGGCCCAUUCGGGUCUUGUAAUUGGAAUGAGUACAAUGUAAAUACCUUAACGAGGAACAAUUGGAGGGCAAGUCUGGUA
RNAcentral lists this ribosomal RNA (562 nucleotides) under uncultured eukaryote. Its description in RNAcentral is "SSU rRNA". It matches the Rfam family "Eukaryotic small subunit ribosomal RNA", at positions 1 to 566 of the family's 1831-position model. The record is from RNAcentral.